This 71-nucleotide small RNA is filed under the name Rugosibacter aromaticivorans. Its description in RNAcentral is "int-alpA RNA". It matches the Rfam family "int-alpA RNA". Rfam says of the family: Acidobacteria (1 example), Planctomycetes (1 example), Proteobacteria. Environment (Lake Washington) Lineage: Bacteria; Pseudomonadati; Pseudomonadota; Betaproteobacteria; Nitrosomonadales; Sterolibacteriaceae. The record is from Rfam by way of RNAcentral.
CCCCCGCCUAGUUUUAGCGGACGAAGAGCCGGACACCUUCACCGGCCUGACGGGGGUUUCUUAUUUGAAGG